RNAcentral lists this ribosomal RNA (197 nucleotides) under uncultured bacterium. RNAcentral describes it as "partial 16S ribosomal RNA". It matches the Rfam family "Bacterial small subunit ribosomal RNA", at positions 328 to 539 of the family's 1533-position model. The record is from RNAcentral.
ACGCUCGACACCUACGGGGGGCAGCAGUGGGGAAUAUUGCACAAUGGGGGAAACCCUGAUGCAGCGACGCCGCGUGAGCGAAGAAGUAUUUCGGUAUGUAAAGCUCUAUCAGCAGGGAAGAAAGUGACGGUACCUGACUAAGAAGCCCCGGCUAACUACGUGCUAGCAGCGCGGUAAUCUGAGCGGGCUGGCAAGGC